CAGUCGCCGCGGUAAUACGUAGGUGGCAAGCGUUGUCCGGAAUUAUUGGGCGUAAAGGGCUCGCAGGCGGUUUCUUAAGUCUGAUGUGAAAGCCCCCGGCUCAACCGGGGAGGGUCAUUGGAAACUGGGAAACUUGAGUGCAGAAGAGGAGAGUGGAAUUCCACGUGUAGCGGUGAAAUGCGUAGAGAUGUGGAGGAACACCAGUGGCGAAGGCGACUCUCUGGUCUGUAACUGACGCUGAGGGGCGAAAGCGUGGGGAGCGAACAGGAUUAGAUACCCCAGUAGUCCCUGUCUCUUAUAA
This 301-nucleotide ribosomal RNA is filed under the name uncultured bacterium. Its description in RNAcentral is "partial 16S ribosomal RNA". It matches the Rfam family "Bacterial small subunit ribosomal RNA", at positions 509 to 809 of the family's 1533-position model. The record is from RNAcentral.